ACAAUAUUUGACUGUUAAAGCUACCUUGUGUAAGAACUUCUCCCAUCUAGCGGUGAAAUUCUAUAUGACAACCAACAGAAUAUUACUUUCUAGCCCCUCCCAUUCCGAGCGCAUUUUAACUCCUACGGUGGCCGUUUCAUGCCAAGGUUAACAUGGCUUCCAGUACUAGGCCUACGACUUCGUCCAGUGUUCCU
Long non-coding RNA from Alosa sapidissima (American shad), 194 nucleotides. RefSeq lists it as uncharacterized. Lineage: Eukaryota; Metazoa; Chordata; Actinopteri; Clupeiformes; Clupeidae. The transcript is spliced from 3 exons. The record is from RefSeq and is a predicted model, not a curated record.